CGUUCACUGGGAAGUAUUGACAUGGGUGUUACAUCACCAGCAGCCAAUCAGAUAACUCCAGUCGUGUUUAUACUUCUACAACCACCUUAUUACAUGUAAUUUUAAUGUAAAGAAUGACAGUACUACCCUGCCACAAAAGGAUUUUGGCUUUGAGUUAUUUUUCCGGUAAUAAACAUAUUGUCACCUGGCCACCAGUGACCAAGAGCUUGAAAUUCUGAUAUAGUUCUUCAGGCAUUUUGAAAAUAAAUACAUUUAUUAUAUGUUAAUCACCACAGCCUCCACCCCCAUAAAAAGAGGGAAGAGUUACUGAAGUUAAUUACUUAUCUAGGAUCAAGGUGAUGGGAAAUGAAAAUGGACUUAAAAAUUUUUAUUUUGCUGGGCACGGUGGCUCACGCCUGUAAUCCCAGCACUUUGGGGGC
RNAcentral lists this long non-coding RNA (419 nucleotides) under Homo sapiens (human). RNAcentral describes it as "HSALNT0347994". Lineage: Eukaryota; Metazoa; Chordata; Mammalia; Primates; Hominidae. The record is from RNAcentral.